GCGACGUUGCUUUUUGAUC
This 19-nucleotide small RNA is filed under the name Arabidopsis thaliana (thale cress). Its description in RNAcentral is "AGO1_4346". The record is from RNAcentral. Lineage: Eukaryota; Viridiplantae; Streptophyta; Magnoliopsida; Brassicales; Brassicaceae.